This 98-nucleotide small RNA is filed under the name Chaetoceros affinis. RNAcentral describes it as "partial Alphaproteobacteria transfer-messenger RNA". The record is from RNAcentral. Lineage: Eukaryota; Bacillariophyta; Thalassiosirophyceae; Chaetocerotales; Chaetocerotaceae.
GUAGAGUGUUGACCUUUUCUGACUUUGUAUCAUCCGUAAAGGACAUAUUCAAAAACGCAAACGAUGAUGAAAUUGACGAAGAUGCUGACGCAGAUGAU